GUGCUUCUUGCCUUUGGGAAGGUCAGAACAGAGUUCUUGCAAGUGAGUUAUCAGUGAAAUGUAAAAACUCACGAAUGGUAAGAUUUGCAAGUAAAGUUUUGGCUUUUGAAAACAUAGAGAACUGUGCACUACAGGAAACAUUCUCAGAAAGCAGAAUAACUGAAUCUCAACAAAAGCAUCAAAAAGUAGAAUGUGAGAACAGGUUUGCAAAGAUUACAGUAAUUGGAAACAAGGAUAAAGUGGAGAUGUGUACAGAUACUUUUGAUAACCUCACUCUGGACACAGAUUCUUGCCUUUGGGAAGAUCAGAACAGAGUUCUUGCAGCUCAGUUAACAGUAAAUUUUAAAAAGUCACAACAGAUAAAACUCACAAGGGAUGUUAUGAUUUUAGAAAACACAGGGACCUAUAGACUACAGGAAACAUUCUCAAAAAGCAGCAUAACUGAAUCUCAACAAAAGCAUCAAAAAGUACAAUGUGAGAGCAGG
Molecule: long non-coding RNA, 485 nt
Filed under: Sarcophilus harrisii (Tasmanian devil)
Lineage: Eukaryota; Metazoa; Chordata; Mammalia; Dasyuromorphia; Dasyuridae
Description: lncRNA (ENSSHAG00000020990.1)
Source: RNAcentral